CUCCAGACUCCUACGGGAGGCAGCAGUGAGGAAUAUUGGUCAAUGGGCGGAAGCCUGAACCAGCCAAGUCGCGUGAGGGAAUAAGGCCCUACGGGUCGUAAACCUCUUUUGCCGGGGAGCAAGGGCCGGGACGCGUCCCGGCCCGGAGAGUACCCGGAGAAAAAGCAUCGGCUAACUCCGUGCCAGCAGCCGCGGUAAUACGGAGGAUGCGAGCGUUAUCCGGAUUUAUUGGGUUUAAAGGGUGCGUAGGCGGGCUUUUAAGUCAGCGGUAAAAAUUCGGGGCUCAACCCCGUCCGGCCGUUGAAACUGGGGGCCUUGAGUGGGCGAGAAGGAUGCGGAAUGCGUGGUGUAGCGGUGAAAUGCAUAGAUAUUAGGAGGAACACCAGUGGCGAAGGCGGCCUGCUGGACGACAACUGACGGUGAGGCGCGAAAGCGUGGGGAGCAAACAGGAUUAGAUACCCGGGUACA
RNAcentral lists this ribosomal RNA (468 nucleotides) under uncultured bacterium. RNAcentral's name for it is "bacterial SSU rRNA". It matches the Rfam family "Bacterial small subunit ribosomal RNA", at positions 329 to 794 of the family's 1533-position model. The record is from RNAcentral.